RNAcentral lists this small RNA (75 nucleotides) under Rhizobium sp. N324. RNAcentral describes it as "miscellaneous other RNA". RNAcentral also lists the same sequence under 3 other names. The record is from RNAcentral. Lineage: Bacteria; Pseudomonadati; Pseudomonadota; Alphaproteobacteria; Hyphomicrobiales; Rhizobiaceae.
CAGCCCCUCACGUCCCGCGCCCGGAUCGGCCGUCUCCCCUCAACACGCGCCGAUCGACAUCAGGCCCGGUGCAUC